RNAcentral lists this ribosomal RNA (209 nucleotides) under Escherichia coli. RNAcentral describes it as "partial 23S ribosomal RNA". It matches the Rfam family "Bacterial large subunit ribosomal RNA", at positions 1138 to 1346 of the family's 2925-position model. Lineage: Bacteria; Pseudomonadati; Pseudomonadota; Gammaproteobacteria; Enterobacterales; Enterobacteriaceae. The record is from RNAcentral.
UAGCUCACUGGUCGAGUCGGCCUGCGCGGAAGAUGUAACGGGGCUAAACCAUGCACCGAAGCUGCGGCAGCGACACUAUGUGUUGUUGGGUAGGGGAGCGUUCUGUAAGCCUGCGAAGGUGUACUGUGAGGUAUGCUGGAGGUAUCAGAAGUGCGAAUGCUGACAUAAGUAACGAUAAAGCGGGUGAAAAGCCCGCUCGCCGGAAGACC